This 301-nucleotide ribosomal RNA is filed under the name uncultured bacterium. RNAcentral describes it as "partial 16S ribosomal RNA". It matches the Rfam family "Bacterial small subunit ribosomal RNA", at positions 509 to 808 of the family's 1533-position model. The record is from RNAcentral.
CAGUCGCCGCGGGAAUACAGAGGGUGCGAGCGUUAAUCGGAUUUACUGGGCGUAAAGCGUGCGUAGGCGGCUAAUUGAGUCGGAUGUGAAAUCCCCGAGCUUAACUUGGGAAUUGCAUUCGAUACUGGUUAGCUAGAGUGUGGGAGAGGAUGGUAGAAUUCCAGGUGUAGCGGUGAAAUGCGUAGAGAUCUGGAGGAAUACCGAUGGCGAAGGCAGCCAUCUGGCCUAACACUGACGCUGAGGUACGAAAGCAUGGGGAGCAAACAGGAUUAGAUACCCGCGUAGUCCCCUGUCUCUUAUA